GACGAACGCUGGCGGCGUGCUUAACACAUGCAAGUCGAACGGAAAGGCCCUGCUUUUGUGGGUGCUCGAGUGGCGAACGGGGUAGUAACACGUGAGUAACCUUCCCUUGACUUUGGGAUAACUUUAGGAAACUUGGGCUAAUACCGGAUAGGAGCUCCUGCUUCAUGGUGGGGGUUGGAAAGUUUCGGCGGUUGGGGAUGGACUCGCGGCUUAUCAGCUUGUUGGUGGGGUAGUGGCUUACCAAGGCUUUGACGGGUAGCCGGCCUGAGAGGGUGACCGGCCACAUUGGGACUGAGAUACGGCCCAGACUCCUACGGGAGGCAGCAGUGGGGAAUAUUGCACAAUGGGCGGAAGCCUGAUGCAGCAACGCCGCGUGCGGGAUGACGGCCUUCGGGUUGUAAACCGCUUUCGCCUGUGACGAAGCGUGAGUGACGGUAAUGGGUAAAGAAGCACCGGCUAACUACGUG
RNAcentral lists this ribosomal RNA (467 nucleotides) under uncultured bacterium. Its description in RNAcentral is "partial 16S ribosomal RNA". It matches the Rfam family "Bacterial small subunit ribosomal RNA", at positions 28 to 507 of the family's 1533-position model. The record is from RNAcentral.